RNAcentral lists this ribosomal RNA (491 nucleotides) under uncultured bacterium. RNAcentral describes it as "partial 16S ribosomal RNA". It matches the Rfam family "Bacterial small subunit ribosomal RNA", at positions 29 to 507 of the family's 1533-position model. The record is from RNAcentral.
AGUGAACGCUGGCGGUAGGCCUAACACAUGCAAGUCGAACGGCAGCACAGUAAGAGCUUGCUCUUACGGGUGGCGAGUGGCGGACGGGUGAGGAAUACAUCGGAAUCUACUUUUUCGUGGGGGAUAACGUAGGGAAACUUACGCUAAUACCGCAUACGACCUACGGGUGAAAGCAGGGGAUCUCCGACCUUGCGCGAUUGAAUGAGCCGAUGUCGGAUUAGCUAGUUUGCGGGGUAAAGGCCCACCAAGGCGACGAUCCGUAGCUGGUCUGAGAGGAUGAUCAGCCACACUAGAACUGAGACACGGUCCAGACUCCUACGGGAGGCAGCAGUGGGGAAUAUUGGACAAUGGGCGCAAGCCUGAUCCAGCCAUACCGCGUGGGUGAAGAAGGCCUUCGGGUUGUAAAGCCCUUUUGUUGGGAAAGAAAAGCAGCAGGUUAAUACCCCGCUGUUCUGACGGUACCCAAAGAAUAAGCACCGGCUAACUUCGUG